AAAGUCGUAACAAGGUUUCCGUAGGUGAACCUGCGGAAGGAUCAUUACCUUUCAAUGCAGCAGAAUCGGGAUGGUUGAGUAUCUCGCCUCUCAGUUCUGCCUGUAUUCUACCCUUGUUUCUCUUACACUAUUAUUUCCUCGGCAGGCUUGCCUGCCGAGUGAAACCACUUAUAACCUAUUUAAUUUUCAAUCAGCGUCUGAAAACUAUAAUAAUUACAACUUUCAACAACGGAUCUCUUGGUUCUG
Molecule: unclassified non-coding RNA, 246 nt
Filed under: Ascomycota sp.
Lineage: Eukaryota; Fungi; Ascomycota
Description: partial contains small subunit ribosomal RNA, internal transcribed spacer 1, and 5.8S ribosomal RNA
Rfam family: Eukaryotic small subunit ribosomal RNA (bases 1-47)
Source: RNAcentral